UACGUAGGGACCGAGCGUUGUCCGGAUUCAUUGGGCGUAAAGAGCUCGUAGGCGGCCACUCAAGUCGAAUGUGAAACCUCGAGGCUUAACCUCGAGCCUGCAUUCGAUACUGGGUGGCUAGAGUCUGGUAGGGGGAUCUGGAAUUCCUGGUGUAGCGGUGGAAUGCGCAGAUAUCAGGAGGAACACCGGUGGCGAAGGCGGGAUCCUGGGCCAGUACUGACGCUGAGGAGCGAAAGCGUGGGGAGCGAACAGG
This 253-nucleotide ribosomal RNA is filed under the name uncultured bacterium. RNAcentral's name for it is "partial 16S ribosomal RNA". It matches the Rfam family "Bacterial small subunit ribosomal RNA", at positions 524 to 776 of the family's 1533-position model. The record is from RNAcentral.